UGGGACAGUGAUGAAGAAGUCCAAGUUCCAUGGCCACUCAACAAAGGAGGAAGGAAGCAGUCACAAACCAAAUACGUGGCAAGAAUUCUGAGAUUUGGUGAAGACACACGUGAACUGACGCCAUAUUUGAAAGCCGCUCAGGAUGGCAAGGAUGUACCCCUUACUGGUGAUUUGGAAUAUGGCAGAGGCAAGAGAAACAAACAGCCAAAGUCUUGGUCAUCAGACAGUGAGAGCAAGGAUGAAAGUGACGAGGAGACUCUAUCUGACAGACAGCAG
Molecule: long non-coding RNA, 276 nt
Organism: Nerophis lumbriciformis (worm pipefish)
Lineage: Eukaryota; Metazoa; Chordata; Actinopteri; Syngnathiformes; Syngnathidae
Source: RefSeq, a predicted model, not a curated record